RNAcentral lists this ribosomal RNA (609 nucleotides) under uncultured bacterium. RNAcentral's name for it is "bacterial SSU rRNA". It matches the Rfam family "Bacterial small subunit ribosomal RNA", at positions 202 to 810 of the family's 1533-position model. The record is from RNAcentral.
CAAAGGGAUUACCGGUGGCGGAUGGGCAUGCGGCGCAUUAGCUAGUCGGCGGGGUAACGGCCCACCGAGGCGACGAUGCGUAGGGGUUCUGAGAGGAAGGUCCCCCACACUGGUACUGAGACACGGACCAGACUCCUACGGGAGGCAGCAGUGAGGAAUAUUGGUCAAUGGGCGCGAGCCUGAACCAGCCAAGUCGCGUGAGGGAUGACGGUCCUACGGAUUGUAAACCUCUUUUGCCGGGGAGCAAGCGUGCGUUCGUGAACGCGCGUCGAGAGUACCCGGAGAAAAAGCAUCGGCUAACUCCGUGCCAGCAGCCGCGGUAAUACGGAGGAUGCGAGCGUUAUCCGGAUUUAUUGGGUUUAAAGGGUGCGUAGGCGGGAUGCCAAGUCAGCGGUAAAAAUGCGGUGCUCAACGCCGUCGAGCCGUUGAAACUGGCGUUCUUGAGUGGGCGAGAAGUAUGCGGAAUGCGUGGUGUAGCGGUGAAAUGCAUAGAUAUCACGCAGAACUCCGAUUGCGAAGGCAGCAUACCGGCGCCCUACUGACGCUGAGGCACGAAAGCGUGGGUAUCGAACAGGAUUAGAUACCCUGGUAGUCCACGCAGUAAACGAU